RNAcentral lists this long non-coding RNA (227 nucleotides) under Setaria italica (foxtail millet). RNAcentral's name for it is "long non-coding RNA (SITA_LNC000348)". Lineage: Eukaryota; Viridiplantae; Streptophyta; Magnoliopsida; Poales; Poaceae. The record is from RNAcentral.
CCUCCAUGGCCCCACCAGUCCUCGUCCUCGGGGGCUUGGCACCUAAUUUUACUUGGCGCGCCUCCGUGGCGCCGCCAGUCCUCAUCCUCAAGGGUUGCGCACCUAAUCCUACUCGGUGUGCCUCCAUGGCUCCGCCAAUCCUUGUCCUUGAGGGCUGGGCGCCUAAUUGUACUCGGCGCGCCUCUGUGGCUCUACCAGUUCUCAUCCUCAAGGGCGGAGCAUCUAAU